AGAGUUUGAUCCUGGCUCAGAUUGAACGCUGGCGGCAUGCUUUACACAUGCAAGUCGAACGGUAACAGGGAGCUUGCUCCGCUGACGAGUGGCGAACGGGUGAGUAAUGCAUCGGAACGUACCGUGUAAUGGGGGAUAACGUAGCGAAAGUUACGCUAAUACCGCAUACGCCCUGAGGGGGAAAGUGGGGGACCGCAAGGCCUCACGUUAUACGAGCGGCCGAUGUCGGAUUAGCUAGUUGGUGGGGUAAAGGCCUACCAAGGCGACGAUCCGUAGCGGGUCUGAGAGGAUGAUCCGCCACACUGGGACUGAGACACGGCCCAGACUCCUGCGGGAGGCAGCAGUGGGGAAUUUUGGACAAUGGGGGCAACCCUGAUCCAGCCAUGCCGCGUGAGUGAAGAAGGCCUUCGGGUUGUAAAGCUCUUUCAGGUGGAAAGAAAUCUCCCGGGUGAAUACCCCGGGAGGAUGACGGUACCUGAAGAAUAAGCACCGGCUAACUACGUGCCAGCAGCCGCGGUAAUACGUAGGGUGCAAGCGUUAAUCGGAAUUACUGGGCGUAAAGCGUGCGCAGGCGGUUCCAUAAGACAGAUGUGAAAUCCCCGGGCUCAACCUGGGAACUGCAUUUGUGACUGUGGAGCUAGAGUACGGUAGAGGGGGAUGGAAUUCCGCGUGUAGCAGUGAAAUGCGUAGAUAUGCGGAGGAACACCAAUGGCGAAGGCAAUCCCCUGGACCUGUACUGACGCUCAUGCACGAAAGCGUGGGGAGCAAACAGGAUUAGAUACCCCGGUAGU
RNAcentral lists this ribosomal RNA (791 nucleotides) under uncultured bacterium. RNAcentral's name for it is "bacterial SSU rRNA". It matches the Rfam family "Bacterial small subunit ribosomal RNA", at positions 8 to 794 of the family's 1533-position model. The record is from RNAcentral.